This is a non-coding RNA of Gracilinanus agilis (Agile Gracile Mouse Opossum), 284 nucleotides long. NCBI's taxonomy places the organism in Eukaryota, Metazoa, Chordata, Mammalia, Didelphimorphia, Didelphidae. The record is from the annotation of a RefSeq genome assembly.
CAGCCUCGGGUCUGGGGGCUCUGAGGAUCUUUAUUUUAUCUCCCUGUCUUUCUAUCCUCCUCCCAGGUCAGCCCAAGGCAUCCCCCAUGGUCAUGGCCUAUGCUCCAUCCCCAGAUGAGCUGCAGACCACAAAGGCCACACUCGUGUGUCUCAUCAACAGCUUCUACCCAGGCUCCGUGGAGGUGACCUGGACCAAGAAUGGCUCCCCUGUGUCCAGUGGGGUGCACACCAGCAAGCCAACACGCCAGAGUGACAACAAGUACUCAGCCAGCAGUUACCUCUCA